This 224-nucleotide long non-coding RNA is filed under the name Ictidomys tridecemlineatus (thirteen-lined ground squirrel). RNAcentral describes it as "lncRNA (ENSSTOG00000030941.1)". The record is from RNAcentral. Lineage: Eukaryota; Metazoa; Chordata; Mammalia; Rodentia; Sciuridae.
CUAGGAAUGUCUACUUUGUAUUAGCUCAUCACUCAGAGCUGCCUGGAGGCCUGCAUCCAUUUGGCAUGUGCAAAGAAACCAGUGGAUAUGGAGGGCCCGUUACCACAUUGGGCAGUGCAGCCCUCAGCAUCAUGCAAGCACAGACAGAGCCUACCUCCAUGUGGCUCUCAAGGGAAGGCAACACUGAACCAAGACCACAUGGACCUGCAGUGGCUACAUAGGUG